CCUACGGGAGGCAGCAGUGGGGAAUAUUGGACAAUGGGGGGAACCCUGAUCCAGCCAUGCCGCGUGUGUGAAGAAGGCCCUCGGGUUGUAAAGCACUUUCAGUGAGGAAGAACGCCUGGUGGUUAAUACCCAUCAGGAAAGACAUCACUCACAGAAGAAGCACCGGCUAACUCCGUGCCAGCAGCCGCGGUAAUACGGAGGGUGCGAGCGGUAAUCGGAAUUACUGGGCGUAAAGCGCGCGUAGGUGGCUUGAUAAGCCGGUUGUGAAAGCCCCGGGCUCAACCUGGGAACGGCAUCCGGAACUGUCAAGCUAGAGUGCAGGAGAGGAAAGUAGAAUUCCCGGUGUAGCGGUGAAAUGCGUAGAGAUCGGGAGGAAUACCAGUGGCGAAGGCGGCCUUCUGGACUGACACUGACACUGAGGUGCGAAAGCGUGGGUAGCAAACAGGAUUAGAUACCCUGGUAGUC
RNAcentral lists this ribosomal RNA (465 nucleotides) under Vreelandella stevensii. RNAcentral describes it as "partial 16S ribosomal RNA". It matches the Rfam family "Bacterial small subunit ribosomal RNA", at positions 338 to 795 of the family's 1533-position model. Lineage: Bacteria; Pseudomonadati; Pseudomonadota; Gammaproteobacteria; Oceanospirillales; Halomonadaceae. The record is from RNAcentral.